GCCAACGUCCAGGUGCCUGUUGUGGCCAUCGGUGCAUUUGGGGACAGUCCUGUCCAGAUGAUCUGUCCUAACUGUCACCAGACCAUGGUCACUAAGGUUGACUUCUUCUCUGGUGUCCUCACCUAGCUCUUCUGUGGAGGACUCUUCUUCUGUGGGUUUGUUCUGGGUUGCUGUCUCAUCCCUUUCUGUUUCGACAGGCUCAAAGACGCCAAGCACACGUGUCCCUCCUGCAAGACCAUCCUGGGGGUUUAUAAGCGCAUAACCUGCAGGAGUCUCCCGUGUCUUUUGGGAAGCUAGCUACAACAUUGUGUCUUGUCUUCUGAGACAAGUUGUUGUUCUUCCAAAACAAUCUGUUUCUCUCAGCUUCCACCCAGUAGAACUGCACAGCAGUUUUUGUGUUUGAAAAACAAAUUAGUUUAAUUCAAUAUAACAAUUUAACUGUCACAGAAUGUUGUCAUUGACAGUGUUCCAUCCCAUCCUGCCCUGUCCCUUGCUAUGCAGUUAACCGCUGCCUUGGCAACGGUAAAAUAUUUGUGCCAUAGAAAACAUAGAAUGUGAAUAUUCACGGUUUGAUGGUUGUUGUAUGAUCUGUAAGUUAUAUUACUAUAAUUGUCUCAUGCAGCACUGUGAGUCUUUCUGAUUGAGUACUGUACUGGUUUGUUAGGAAUAAACUGAGCCC
Molecule: long non-coding RNA, 679 nt
Filed under: Salmo salar (Atlantic salmon)
Lineage: Eukaryota; Metazoa; Chordata; Actinopteri; Salmoniformes; Salmonidae
Description: lncRNA (ENSSSAG00000088769.1)
Source: RNAcentral